AGCAGUAGCCACGGGAAUACGUAGGUGGCAAGCGUUGUCCGGAAUUAUUGGGCGUAAAGGGCUCGCAGGCGGUUUCUUAAGUCUGAUGUGAAAGCCCCCGGCUCAGCCGGGGAGGGUCAUUGGAAACUGGGGAACUUGAGUGCAGAAGAGGGGAGUGGAAUUCCACGUGUAGCGGUGAAAUGCGUAGAGAUGUGGAGGAACACCAGUGGCGAAGGCGACUCUCUGGUCUGUAACUGACGCUGAGGAGCGAAAGCGUGGGGAGCGAACAGGAUUAGAUACCCCGGUAGUCCCUGUCUCUUAUAC
Molecule: ribosomal RNA, 303 nt
Filed under: uncultured bacterium
Lineage: Bacteria
Description: partial 16S ribosomal RNA
Rfam family: Bacterial small subunit ribosomal RNA
Source: RNAcentral